RNAcentral lists this ribosomal RNA (490 nucleotides) under uncultured bacterium. RNAcentral's name for it is "partial 16S ribosomal RNA". It matches the Rfam family "Bacterial small subunit ribosomal RNA", at positions 29 to 507 of the family's 1533-position model. The record is from RNAcentral.
AGUGAACGCUGGCGGUAGGCCUAACACAUGCAAGUCGAACGGCAGCACAGGAGAGCUUGCUCUCUGGGUGGCGAGUGGCGGACGGGUGUGGAAUACAUCGGAAUCUGCCCAGUCGUGGGGGAUAACGUAGGGAAACUUACGCUAAUACCGCAUACGACCUUCGGGUGAAAGAGGGGUAUCGCAAGACCUCUCGCGUUUGGUUGAGCCGAUGUCGGAUUAGCUAGUUGGCGGGGUAAUGGCCCACCAAGGCGACGAUCCGUAGCUGGUCUGAGAGGAUGAUCAGCCACACUGGAACUGAGACACGGUCCAGACUCCUACGGGAGGCAGCAGUGGGGAAUAUUGGACAAUGGGCGGAAGCCUGAUCGAACAAUACCGCGUGGGUGAAGAAGGCCUUCGGGUUGUAAAGCCCUUUUGUUGGGGAAGAACUCUUUCAGGCUAAUACCCUGAGAGGAUGACGGUACCUAAAGAAUAAGCACCGGCUAACUUCGUG